GACGAACGCUGGCGGCGUGCUUAACACAUGCAAGUGGAGCGACGAACCAGGCUUCGGCCUGGGGCAAAGCCGCGAACGGGUGAGUAACACGUGGGUAACCUGCCCUGAUGACCGGGACAACCCGAGGAAACUCGGGCUAAUACCGGAUGUGCUCCCACCACACCAGUGGUGUGAGUAAAGGUAGCUUCGGCCUCCGCAUCGGGAUGGGCCCGCGGCGCAUUAGCUUGUUGGUGGGGUAAAGGCCACCAAGGCAACGAUGCGUAGCUGGUCUGAGAGGACGAUCAGCCACACUGGGACUGAGACACGGCCAGACUCCUACGGGAGCAGCAGUGGGAAUCUUGCGCAAUGCGCGAAAGCGUGACGCAGCAACGCCGCGUGAGUGAAGAAGGCCUGG
This 394-nucleotide ribosomal RNA is filed under the name uncultured bacterium. Its description in RNAcentral is "bacterial SSU rRNA". It matches the Rfam family "Bacterial small subunit ribosomal RNA", at positions 28 to 419 of the family's 1533-position model. The record is from RNAcentral.